This 2589-nucleotide ribosomal RNA is filed under the name Euglena deses var. mesnili. RNAcentral's name for it is "bacterial SSU rRNA". The stretch from base 325 to 2589 matches the Rfam family "Eukaryotic small subunit ribosomal RNA". Lineage: Eukaryota; Euglenozoa; Euglenophyceae; Euglenales; Euglenaceae. The record is from RNAcentral.
UAGUCAUAUGCUUUGUUCAAGGGCUAAGCCAUGCAAGUCUCAGCGCACAUGGUCACAACAGUGGGUCUGUGAAUGGCUCCUUACAUCAGCAGUCAUCUCCGCGACAGAGUGUGGUCGGCACCAGUCAGCCAUCGGUGCCCAGUUGGACAUCCACCAAAACCUUGUGGCUAAUACACGUUCGCUCAGGUUCGGCCAUGGUUCAACGCUCGGGGGUGUACUGGCGCUUCCACGUUAGUGUGUCCCCUCGCUUUCCAGAGGGGCGUGGUGGUUGAUGGCACCCAGCCCACACGAAGACCAGCGUCCCUAACUCGGACAGCGUGUUGUAGUGUAGUUGACCCAGGCUGGUCCCUCCGCGGACGGUAUGCGCUGGCAGAGUUUUGGUGGUCCCGUGUCACAACGGACCACAGCCUCGGCUCGGUCGCACGAACUUCUGACCUAUCAGCCUCGACUGUGGUGUCGUGGACCCCAGUGGCUUUGACGGGUAACGGAGAAUCAGGGUUCGAUUCCGGAGAGGGAGCCUGAGAGACGGCUACCACUACCAAGGUGGGCAGCAGGCGCGCAAAUUGCCCAAUGCAAACCAAGUCUGCGAGGCAGCGACGAACUGCAGCAAUCCCACUGGCCUUCUUCGCCAGUKGGACUUGGAAUGGAUGCAAUCCAAAGACAGUGAUGAGUAACAACUGGAGGGCAAGUCUGGUGCCAGCAGCUGCGGUAAUUCCAGCUCCAAGGGCGUAUACUAACAUUGCUGCGGUUAAAACGCUUGUAGUCUGCCACUGGGUCGCAGGUCUGCCGGGUGGCCGUGCCGUGUGUGUGCGGGCGGGGUUGGUGCCGGUCCGGCCACCACCCACCUCUCUUUCGCUCCCUCGGGGGCGGGGGGGGGGCGGGGGGCGGUCGGUUCCGGUGCCCGUCCCGUCCCGCGCGCCCCGGCGCGGGUAAAACCCCCGGUGGUAUGCUCCUGCACCCGCCAAGUUUGCUCGCGACGGUGAGAUCUGCUCCUGCCCAAAGGCCCCCUUCAGUGGAGGCCCCCAGCGGGCUCGCCCCCAACGCAGGUGUGGACAGCCACAGGCGGACCGGUGCCUCCCUUCUGCCCGUGCCCGGUACCCUUUGCAACCGCCCGUCCACCUCCGGAGCCCACCGUCACAGACACCGUGGAAAACUCAGUGUGCUCAAGGCCUCCAACCACUCGGCUGGAUGCCCGUCCAUGGCAUGUCAAGGUACCGACCAAGCGCGGCACAGUGGAGUUGUGCUGGCCUUGGCGCCCGCUCUGGGCAACGUGGUGCGUGCACCGGGCGCCCCACCGUCCGCAGCCAGGCCCCACCCCGUCCCCACGUGGCCCCCCUCGCGGCCCCGGACCCCCCCUCUCGUCCGCCCCCUUCGGGGGCGCCGGGAGGGGGACCGGGUGCCCGUGGGGGGGUUCGCGUGUGGGCGUGGGGGGGUGCCCUGGUGGGCGGCGGGCCGUCCCGGCAGCGCGCAUCGACCGAAUCCGAUGGGGCCAGUCAGGGUGAAAGGUACUACGGCGCCAGAGGUGAAAUUCUUAGACCGCCGCAAGACCACCGGCGGCGAAGGCGCUUUGCAAGGCUGUGUUCGUCGAUCAAGAACGAGAGUCCGGGGAGCAAAGAUGAUCAGACACCGUCGUAGUCCGGCACCGUCAACCGUGCCAGCUCGGCCUCGGUGGGGAAAUUCCAUCGACCCCGCCGGGCCACGCCCCCUCCAACGAGCAAUCCAAGCCCAUGGGUUCCGGGGGGAGUACCGUCGCAAGGCUGAAACUUAAAGGAAUUGACGGAAUGGCACCACAAGGCGUGGAGUAUGCGGCUUAAUUUGACUCAACACGGGGAACGUUACCAGGUCAGGACAUCGCUGGGAUGGACAGACUGAGAGCUCUUUCUUGAUUCGGUGGACGGUGGUGCAUGGCCGCUCCUGAUUGGUGGAGUGAUUUGUCUGGUUGAUUCCGAUAACGAGUGAGACAUCUGCCUCCCACUAAGCCUCGGGCUCGCAAUUGGUAGGGUCCCGGACCGCAUUGGUGGCGACCGCGGGGUCCCGUCGGCCCCCCGGGGGUCCCGUCCGUCGUGCGCCCGUCGUUCCCCCCCGGGGGUGCGGCGGGUGUGCGAUGGGCGGGGCCUUCGGGGGGAGGGCGGGGUCAACCCCCGCGGACCCGCCGCCCGCGGUCCGCCCGAGAGCCCCGAGUCUCAAGCUUCUCUGAGGCGCUGUGUACGCCACCAAGUGCAUGCAUGCUAGAGCCAACAGCAGGUCUGUGAUGCUCCCAGAUGUCCUGGGCCGCACGCGCACUACACUGACCCGGUGAGGGGGUCACCAUCCCGCUGGCGUUCCCGUCCAGCCCUGCCCGGAAGUGGGUGGGAAACCCUGCGAGACCGAGUCGUGCUGGGGAUAGAUGCUUGCAACUGUCUGCCUUGAACGUGGAAUGCCUAGUAGGCGUGAGUCAUCAGCUCACACCGACUGUGUCCCUGCCAUUUGUACACACCGCCCGUCGUUGCUACCGAUGGCGGCUGGAUAGAGCCAUCCGGAGGCCCGUGCGCCCGCCCCGUCGGGACACGGCCGAAAUCGGGCGAUGUCCAGCCGCUAGAGGAAGCAAAA